GUGGACGCCAGUCUGCGUGGAGCCGACCUUGAAAUACCACCCUUUAAUGUUUGAUGUUCUAACGUGGACCCGUAAUCCGGGUUGCGGACAGUGUCUGGUGGGUAGUUUGACUGGGGCGGUCUCCUCCUAAAGAGUAACGGAGGAGCACGAAGGUUGGCUAAUCCUGGUCGGACAUCAGGAGGUUAGUGCAAUGGCAUAAGCCAGCUUGACUGCGAGCGUGACGGCGCGAGCAGGUGCGAAAGCAGGUCAUAGUGAUCCGGUGGUUCUGAAUGGAAGGGCCAUCGCUCAACGGAUAAAAGGUACUCCGGGGAUAACAGGCUGAUACCGCCCAAGAGUUCAUAUCGACGGCGGUGUUUGGCACCUCGAUGUCGGCUCAUCACAUCCUGGGGCUGAAGUAGGUCCCAAGGGUAUGGCUGUUCGCCAUUUAAAGUGGUACGCGAGCUGGGUUUAGAACGUCGUGAGACAGUUCGGUCCCUAUCUGCCGUGGGCGCUGGAGAACUGAGGGGGGCUGCUCCUAGUACGAGAGGACCGGAGUGGACGCAUCACUGGUGUUCGGGUUGUCAUGCCAAUGGCACUGCCCGGUAGCUAAAUGCGGAAGAGAUAAGUGCUGAAAGCAUCUAAGCACGAAACUUGCCCCGAGAUGAGUUCUCCCUGAGACUUAGAGUCUCCUGAAGGAACGUUGAAGACGACGACGUUGAUAGGCCGGGUGUGUAAGCGCAGCGAUGCGUUGAGCUAACCGGUACUAAUGAACCGUGAGG
Molecule: ribosomal RNA, 758 nt
Filed under: Salmonella enterica
Lineage: Bacteria; Pseudomonadati; Pseudomonadota; Gammaproteobacteria; Enterobacterales; Enterobacteriaceae
Also listed under: 2 other names
Description: partial 23S ribosomal RNA
Rfam family: Bacterial large subunit ribosomal RNA
Source: RNAcentral